CAAAAAAUAGUUAAAAAAUAAUAUUAAUUUUGGAGAUUAAAGUUAUAUAUUAUAAUAUAUUUUUUUGA
Molecule: transfer RNA, 68 nt
Filed under: Habroteleia persimilis
Lineage: Eukaryota; Metazoa; Arthropoda; Insecta; Hymenoptera; Scelionidae
Description: tRNA-Pro
Source: RNAcentral